This 391-nucleotide long non-coding RNA is filed under the name Homo sapiens (human). RNAcentral's name for it is "SEMA5A antisense RNA 2 (SEMA5A-AS2)". Lineage: Eukaryota; Metazoa; Chordata; Mammalia; Primates; Hominidae. The record is from RNAcentral.
CUGAAGAUGGUUCCUGCCUGAACCAUGCACACUAAUCAUUUAAUGUUCUACAGAAGAAAAGAACAAACAGAGCAGGGAGGCAGAUGUGGCCACAUACUGGAUCUACACUUAAAACAGUGAAUGGCUGCUACCCCCACCUCCUGCAGUAGGAACAGGAAGAAAGGAAGGAUCACCUAUAGAAAACUCACCCUGAAAAGAUGUGGAGACAGGACUCAAGGAGGUCCCAUUUCCAAAUGGAAGAAGUAAAAUUUUAACAGGAUGAAGUCUUUGACCCGAACCUAAAUACAGACCAGAAUUCUGAGCCCAAAAACUAUCUCCAGCAUCCGGAGAAGAAGCAUCAUGAAAGGGGAGGAGAGAGCUGUUUAUAUAUAAAAUAAGUUGAAUUUGCAAG